GUCGAACGAGUUCUCGUUGAUGAUCGGUGCUUGCACCGAGAUUCAACAUGGAACGAGUGGCGGACGGGUGAGUAACACGUGGGUAACCUGCCCUUAAGUGGGGGAUAACAUUUGGAAACAGAUGCUAAUACCGCAUAGAUCCAAGAACCGCAUGGUUCUUGGCUGAAAGAUGGCGUAAGCUAUCGCUUUUGGAUGGACCCGCGGCGUAUUAGCUAGUUGGUGAGGUAAUGGCUCACCAAGGCGAUGAUACGUAGCCGAACUGAGAGGUUGAUCGGCCACAUUGGGACUGAGACACGGCCCAAACUCCUACGGGAGGCAGCAGUAGGGAAUCUUCCACAAUGGACGCAAGUCUGAUGGAGCAACGCCGCGUGAGUGAAGAAGGCUUUCGGGUCGUAAAACUCUGUUGUUGGAGAAGAAUGGUCGGCAGAGUAACUGUUGUCGGCGUGACGGUAUCCAACCAGAAAGCCACGGCUAACUACGUGCCAGCAGCCGCGGUAAUACGUAGGUGGCAAGCGUUAUCCGGAUUUAUUGGGCGUAAAGCGAGCGCAGGCGGUUUUUUAAGUCUGAUGUGAAAGCCCUCGGCUUAACCGAGGAAGCGCAUCGGAAACUGGGAAACUUGAGUGCAGAAGAGGACAGUGGAACUCCAUGUGUAGCGGUGAAAUGCGUAGAUAUAUGGAAGAACACCAGUGGCGAAGGCGGCUGUCUGGUCUGUAACUGACGCUGAGGCUCGAAAGCAUGGGUAGCGAACAGGAUUAGAUACCCUGGUAGUCCAUGCCGUAAACGAUGAAUGCUAGGUGUUGGAGGGUUUCCGCCCUUCAGUGCCGCAGCUAACGCAUUAAGCAUUCCGCCUGGGGAGUACGACCGCAAGGUUGAAACUCAAAGGAAUUGACGGGGGCCCGCACAAGCGGUGGAGCAUGUGGUUUAAUUCGAAGCAACGCGAAGAACCUUACCAGGUCUUGACAUCUUUUGAUCACCUGAGAGAUCAGGUUUCCCCUUCGGGGGCAAAAUGACAGGUGGUGCAUGGUUGUCGUCAGCUCGUGUCGUGAGAUGUUGGGUUAAGUCCCGCAACGAGCGCAACCCUUAUGACUAGUUGCCAGCAUUUAGUUGGGCACUCUAGUAAGACUGCCGGUGACAAACCGGAGGAAGGUGGGGAUGACGUCAAAUCAUCAUGCCCCUUAUGACCUGGGCUACACACGUGCUACAAUGGAUGGUACAACGAGUUGCGAGACCGCGAGGUCAAGCUAAUCUCUUAAAGCCAUUCUCAGUUCGG
RNAcentral lists this ribosomal RNA (1270 nucleotides) under Lacticaseibacillus paracasei subsp. tolerans. RNAcentral's name for it is "bacterial SSU rRNA". It matches the Rfam family "Bacterial small subunit ribosomal RNA", at positions 61 to 1296 of the family's 1533-position model. Lineage: Bacteria; Bacillati; Bacillota; Bacilli; Lactobacillales; Lactobacillaceae. The record is from RNAcentral.